GCGGGGAUGCCGGAGCGGUCAAACGGGGCAGACUCAAGAUCUGUUGGCUUAGUGCCUACCGGGGUUCAAAUCCUCGUCCCCGCA
RNAcentral lists this transfer RNA (84 nucleotides) under Candidatus Woesearchaeota archaeon. Its description in RNAcentral is "tRNA-Leu". It matches the Rfam family "tRNA". From Rfam's summary of the family: Transfer RNA (tRNA) molecules are approximately 80 nucleotides in length. Their secondary structure includes four short double-helical elements and three loops (D, anti-codon, and T loops). Lineage: Archaea; Nanobdellati; Candidatus Woesearchaeota. The record is from RNAcentral.